GUAGGUGAACCUGCGGAAGGAUCAUUUGCAAAAGAGUGUGGGUGGUGCGGGGAGCGAGAGCGAACCGUGCUGUCUAUGAGUGCGUUAGAGUGGGACUGAGUAUGGUGCGCGAUAAAGCGAGAGAACUUUUAACAAUGGAUCUCUUGGCUCCU
RNAcentral lists this unclassified non-coding RNA (152 nucleotides) under rhizosphere metagenome. RNAcentral's name for it is "partial ribosomal RNA internal transcribed spacer region". The record is from RNAcentral.